RNAcentral lists this non-coding RNA (21 nucleotides) under Arabidopsis thaliana (thale cress). The record is from RNAcentral. Lineage: Eukaryota; Viridiplantae; Streptophyta; Magnoliopsida; Brassicales; Brassicaceae.
UAGAGGAAGCCUUUUGGGACC